GACGAACGCUGGCGGCGUGCUUAACACAUGCAAGUCGAACGAGAGCGUAGAGAAAGCUUGCUUUUUCUACAAUCUAGUGGCAAACGGGUGAGUAACGCGUAAACAACCUGCCCUACGGAUGGGGACAACAGCUGGAAACGGCUGCUAAUACCGAAUACGUUCCGAAAGUCGCAUGACUAUCGGAAGAAAGGAUGGCCUCUAUUUAUAAGCUAUCGCCGGAGGAGGGGUUUGCGUCUGAUUAGCUAGUUGGAGGGGUAACGGCCCACCAAGGCGACGAUCAGUAGCCGGUCUGAGCGGAUGAACGGCCACAUUGGAACUGAGACACGGUCCAGACUCCUACGGGAGGCAGCAGUGGGGAAUCUUCCGCAAUGGGCGAAAGCCUGACGGAGCAACGCCGCGUGAGUGAAGACGGCCUUCGGGUUGUAAAGCUCUGUUAUACGGGACGAAUAAUCUUGUGGUUAAUACCCAUGAGAAGUGACGGUACCGUAAGAGAAAGCCACGGCUAACUACGUG
This 513-nucleotide ribosomal RNA is filed under the name uncultured bacterium. RNAcentral's name for it is "partial 16S ribosomal RNA". It matches the Rfam family "Bacterial small subunit ribosomal RNA", at positions 28 to 507 of the family's 1533-position model. The record is from RNAcentral.